ACGAACGCUGGCGGCGUGCUUAACACCUGCAAGUCGAACGGAAAGGCCCUGCUUGCAGGGUCCUCGAGUGGCGAACGGGUGAGUAACACGUGGGUGAUCUGCCCUGCACUUCGGGAUAAGCCUGGGAAACUGGGUCUAAUACCGGAUAGGAGCCAUUUUUAGUGUGAUGGUUGGAAAGUUUUUUCGGUGUAGGAUGAGCUCGCGGCCUAUCAGCUUGUUGGUGGGGUAAUGGCCUACCAAGGCGGCGACGGGUAGCCGGCCUGAGAGGGUGGACGGCCACAUUGGGACUGAGAGACGGCCCAGACUCCUACGGGAGGCAGCAGUGGGGAAUAUUGCACAAUGGGCGCAAGCCUGAUGCAGCGACGCCGCGUGGGGGAGGACGGCCUUCGGGUUGGAAACUCCUUUCGCUAGGGACGAAGCUUUUUGUGACGGUACCUAGAUAAGAAGCACCGGCUAACUACGUG
RNAcentral lists this ribosomal RNA (464 nucleotides) under uncultured bacterium. RNAcentral describes it as "partial 16S ribosomal RNA". It matches the Rfam family "Bacterial small subunit ribosomal RNA", at positions 29 to 507 of the family's 1533-position model. The record is from RNAcentral.